GACCUAAUGGCCAACGGUGGCGCCCGCACCGCAUUAGUAAUGAGUGUGUUUUGAUGUGAGCGGGAGGUCCUGGUUCGAUUCCAGGUUGGGUCA
Molecule: non-coding RNA, 93 nt
Organism: Mycena leptocephala
Lineage: Eukaryota; Fungi; Basidiomycota; Agaricomycetes; Agaricales; Mycenaceae
Source: the annotation of a GenBank genome assembly